Molecule: ribosomal RNA, 242 nt
Filed under: uncultured bacterium
Lineage: Bacteria
Description: partial 16S ribosomal RNA
Rfam family: Bacterial small subunit ribosomal RNA
Source: RNAcentral
UGACGAGUGGCGGACGGGUGAGUAAUGUCUGGGAAACUGCCUGAUGGAGGGGGAUAACUACUGGAAACGGUAGCUAAUACCGCAUAACGUCGCAAGACCAAAGAGGGGGACCUUCGGGCCUCUCACUAUCGGAUGAACCCAGAUGGGAUUAGCUAGUAGGCGGGGUAAUGGCUCACCUAGGCGACGAUCCCUAGCUGGUCCGAGAGGAUGACCAGCCACACUGGAACUGAGACACGGUCCAG